UCACUUUUCCCAAAAUUUUCUAUUAUAGUGGGACAACCUUAAAGCCUAUAUCCCUUUCUUUUUCUAUCUCUCUCUGGAUUCGUCCCAAAAUCCCCUCAUUAAUCAAUCUCUUUUGUUUCCUUGAUUUUACAGCUUAAAUCUCUCAAGAUCAAAAAGUUCUGACUGGUAAUUCUUAUUGUCUCAAGGCUUGUUACUAUAGGAUCUCCCCUCAAAUCUUUCUCAUUGAUAUUUACAUGUAAGCUUUAUUUUUUUUUUAAUUUGCUUUAGAGAUUUUAGGUUUUCAAUUAUGAAUAUAGGAUUUGUCAUGUUGAUUCCAUUUUUUAUUUGGAGCAAUUUCUUAUAUGUUGGGUUCAUUUAUUUUUCUUACAUUUAGGAGUAAUAUAUUAGAGGCUGAAAUUUCUCAUUUGUGCCUUAGCAAUCCGAAAUUGUGUAUAUCAAUCACAUAAUAGGUUUUAUCUUAUAAAUUUUGGGUAUAUGGACAUCUAUUAGAAUUUAAUCUGCAUUCAUGCUUUUAGUCUUGUUAGAAUCUUUAAGUGAUUCUCUUUAAUCUACUCCAUAAGCCAAGGUCUGGAAGGGGGAAUCUGUCUAUUUUUUUCUCAUACAGUGAUUUGUUUGCAACCUGCAAGGUAAAAGGAUUGAUCCUUAACAGCCAGAAUUUUCUCAAAAAUGCGACAUUUAUGGGUUGCAUGGGCAUCUUAAAGGAGGGAAAACUUCAGUUGAGGUAAAUCUUUAUGAUUUCUCAUUAUUUGUGGACUUUCCUUUACUAAUUCUAGUUUUGUUGCUUUGUUGGUUGUUCUGUUGAUUCUGUUGUUUUGUCACGUCUCUUAUACUUAAGCCCAUGAAUAUCAAUCCCUCCAUUUGGUUAGAGUAAUGGUCGUUGUUGCAUUAUUCCAACCAAUUGAUCCUUAAGUGAGAUCCAUAAGUGAAGACUUAUCUCCGAAUUUAGUCUCAUGCUUGUGCUUUUCUUUUUACUUUGUUUGAAUGAAGAUUUAAAUUAAUCUAAAUUCGUUUGCUCUUGGUAGUAUCUGGGUUUUAUUUGUUAAGCUAUAAAACUUGAAUUUGACUUAUUAAAUUGGUCUUUGGACACAAACAAAUUUAUUAACUAGCCCACAUUAAUUGGUUCUUUAGAUUUUGCCCAUUCAUAGGGACUACACGCUGAGAGUUGUCAAAAGCCUCUCAAAAUUCAUGAUAGCCUCAUGUUUUAUUUAUAUUAUUAGUAGCAUCAAUACAUAAUUCUUUUAGAUUAAACUGAAUGCACUGCUAGUAUUGAUACUCUAAAAAAAAAAAAAAAUUGGCUGCAGAAGGCAAUAUUUAAUUGAUACAAAGGCAGGACUAAGUUAUCAUAAUUGCUCGUUGCAUUUGUGUAGUUUAGAAUAUGAAUGAAAUGUUGUUCUUAAAUUUAUGUCUAACAUAGGUACAAAAUGAGUAGAAGAUUAGUUGGGUAGAUGUAAUGUGACGAAAAAUAAAAUGGCUUCCACAUGAAUUAAAGAAUAUAGUUCUAGAAUUUCUUUAUUAAUGUUCUAGUUGAUUUAUUGCAACACUUGAUUUUCAUUUCCUACUCACUAUUGCUACUUUUAUCCUUUUCUUUUCCACAAUGCUAUAUACUUAUUAUAUCCUUAAUGGCCUAGCAUUUAUGGAUGAUAUUGAAUGGUUUGGAUGAAUGUAAGCGUGAAUUGAAGUUGAGUACACUUUAAUUUUUGUAAUUUACUUAUAUGGGAAAAUUUUGUUAAGAAGGCAUUAUUUUGUUUCUUUUUUAUUAGCAGAAUAAAAUUCUUAUUUGUUUUCAAAUUCAUAAUACAGGUGAUCAAGGAUAUUGUGCAAAAAUGUAUUGAAGAAUGAGGACAAAUUGAAGAUAAUAUAUAGUUCUUUUUUAAAGAUCACUAGAAAGUAUAGAAGUAUGACACUUGCAUACUUAUUUUUUAUAAAUGUUUUAUAGUUGAAUGUUUAUUAUAUGAUUAUGGAUCUUUAAAUAUUUUUAUUUUGUCAAUGAAUGAUAUAUAAUUUCUUUUUUAUCAAUGGAAUGACUAAAAUGAUAUUUUGA
RNAcentral lists this long non-coding RNA (2041 nucleotides) under Citrus x clementina. Its description in RNAcentral is "Citrus clementina (C. clementina) long non-coding RNA (CCLE_LNC001475)". Lineage: Eukaryota; Viridiplantae; Streptophyta; Magnoliopsida; Sapindales; Rutaceae. The record is from RNAcentral.